Pelobates cultripes (western spadefoot toad) is the source of this 157-nucleotide non-coding RNA. Lineage: Eukaryota; Metazoa; Chordata; Amphibia; Anura; Pelobatidae. The record is from the annotation of a GenBank genome assembly.
AAAAAACUACAUAUACAAAAGAAAGUCCCUUUAAAAAACAAGUCCAAAGAGCACCUGACGCGUUUCGGCAAUAAGCCUCGGAUGAAGGCUUAUUGCCGAAACGCGUCAGGUGCUCUUUGGACUUGUUUUUUAAAGGGACUUUCUUUUGUAUAUGUAG